GUCAGGAUGGCCGAGUGGUCUAAGGCACCAGACUCCAUUUCAGGUCUCCGGGUGGAGGCGUGGGUUCAAAUCCCACUUCUGACA
Mirounga angustirostris (Northern elephant seal) is the source of this 84-nucleotide non-coding RNA. The record is from the annotation of a RefSeq genome assembly. NCBI's taxonomy places the organism in Eukaryota, Metazoa, Chordata, Mammalia, Carnivora, Phocidae.